GUUCCCGAACGAUCACUGAAGUUAAGCAAAGUCGAGCCUGGUCAGUAUCUAGAUGGGUGACCGCUUGAGAAUACCAGGUGCUGUAA
Molecule: non-coding RNA, 86 nt
Organism: Acanthosepion pharaonis
Lineage: Eukaryota; Metazoa; Mollusca; Cephalopoda; Sepiida; Sepiidae
Source: the annotation of a GenBank genome assembly